RNAcentral lists this long non-coding RNA (1138 nucleotides) under Marmota monax (woodchuck). The record is from RNAcentral. Lineage: Eukaryota; Metazoa; Chordata; Mammalia; Rodentia; Sciuridae.
GCUAUUUGCAGAUUCUUGGAGACCCAGGGUUUCACCAUCCCCUGACUAAAGGGUCCUUCUACAGUAGCCCACCCAGCCCCACCCGGCCUGAUGGCACUCUUUCCUCCACUCCACAGCUCAUCCAGACCAGCAAAGUAGCUUUCCUCCUCCCUUUCUUUACAAUUUUUUCAAAUAAAAAAUUGAGGAACAAAAGAGCUGCAGCCAAGUCCCCAGCGUCCCAUGCUGGGGACAGCCUCCCUGAGGAUGGAAAGGGCCUGCCCCUUCCACAGCUGGCCUCUCUCCCCGCUGGCUCAGAGCCCCAGGGCAGGGACUUGCUACUCCUUAACAACCACCUUGCGGCUCAGGCUGGGGAAUCCCAGGAGCCACAGGGUCUGCCUGGGCGAAGUCACCUGGGUGCACCUUCCCCGCUCCAGACUGAAGGCAUUUUCAAGAAGAGCUGCGCUUGUGGUCUGCGGGGCACGCCCCCGCCCCACCCCCACCUUAGGCCUCUGUGUGCUGCUCUCUGUCUCUCUUUCUCCUCCAGCUCCACCAGGCAGAGUUUAGAGGAAAGGAAAGCAGCCCAGCCCAGAAUCCUGAGCAGCUGAGGGGUCUCCCUGCCCGCAGGACAGAGGCCAGGGUGCCUUCGAGAGAGAGCUCAGAACAGGUUGGGGCUCUCUUUUGCCUGGGGACAUGGAUGUGGAGGAUUCCCUCUGAGAUGUCAGUGGACCCUUGCAACUUUCACAGCCAGAAGCUCAGCUCAACUCUUGGUCACCUUCAGUGUCCCAUCUUUUCUAGAUUUAAAUACUUCAGCAAAUUACAACAUGAGUUUGGGAUGGUGGUGAGCAGGUGGGGAAAGCCUUCCUUGGGGGAUUUUAGAAUGCCUUUUGUCUGCUGCUGGUUAGCUCCUCAAGGUCCUUACCUGGACACCAAGGACCACUUCCCUAAGUAAAUGAGGCGGUGACAUUCAGGAGUACCUCGGAGGCCACCAGCAGUGGGGAAGGGGAGGUCGUGCUCAGUCCUGUUCCUGGGUUGGCAGAGUUGGAAUGCAAAGGAAAAAGUAAUGAAUGUAGGAAACGAUACUCAUGUUAUUGAUGUAGUUUGGAUUUUUUCUUUUAAAAACCAAGAUGAGGCUAAUAAAACUGAUGUAUUAAUAACCUGA